This 788-nucleotide ribosomal RNA is filed under the name marine metagenome. Its description in RNAcentral is "bacterial SSU rRNA". It matches the Rfam family "Bacterial small subunit ribosomal RNA", at positions 8 to 810 of the family's 1533-position model. The record is from RNAcentral.
AGAGUUUGAUCCUGGCUCAGGACGAACAUUGGCGGCGCGCCUAAUGCAUGCAAGUCGAGCGAGCUCGUUUUCUUCGGAAAACAUAUAGCUAGCGGCGAACGGCUGAGUAACGCGUGAGUAACCUGCCUCAAAGAGGGGAAAAACCAUGAGAAAUCAUGGCUAAUUCCGCGUAAUGUCGAUUAAUUAAUUUAAUCGAAGAAAGAAUUUAUUCGCUUUGAGAUGGGCUUGCGUCCUAUCAGGUAGUUGGUGAGGUAAUGGCUCACCAAGCCUAAGACGGGUAGCUGGAGUGAGAGCUUGACCAGCCAGAGGGGGACUGAGACACGGCCCCCACUCCUACGGGAGGCAGCAGCAGGGAAUCUUGCACAAUGGGCGAAAGCCUGAUGCAGCGACGCCGCGUGAGGGAUGAAGGUUCUAGGAUCGUAAACCUCUUUUCUUAGGGAAUAGUUUGGAAGGUACCUAAGGAAUAAGUCACGGCUAACUACGUGCCAGCAGCCGCGGUAAUACGUAGGUGGCAAAUGUUGUCCGGAAUCAUUGGGCGUAAAGGGUCCGUAGGUGGCUUGAAAAGUCUUAUGUGAAAUCUCUUGGCUCAACCAAGAAACGCCAUAAGAAACUUUCUAGCUAGAGACCAUCAGAGGGAGGUAGAAUUCCAGGUGUAGUGGUGAAAUGCGUAGAUAUCUGGAGGAAUACCAAUGGCGAAAGCAGCCUCCUGGGGUGAAUCUGACAUUGAGGGACGAAAGCGUGGGUAGCAAACCGGAUUAGAUACCCGGGUAGUCCAUGCCGUAAACGAU